RNAcentral lists this ribosomal RNA (498 nucleotides) under uncultured bacterium. Its description in RNAcentral is "bacterial SSU rRNA". It matches the Rfam family "Bacterial small subunit ribosomal RNA", at positions 31 to 527 of the family's 1533-position model. The record is from RNAcentral.
GAACGCUGGCGGAGGCUUACACAUGCAAGUCGAGCGGUAACAGAGAUAGCUUGCUAUCUGCUGACGAGCGGCGGACGGGUGAGUAACGCGUAGGAAACUACCCGGUAGUGGGGGACAACCGUUGGAACCGACGGCUAAUACCGCAUACGCUCUACGGAGGAAAGGGGGCUUCGGCUCUCGCUAUCGGAUGUGCCUGCGUGAGAUUAGCUAGUUGGUGGGGUAAAAGCCUACCAAGGCGACGAUCUCUAGCUGGUCUGAGAGGAUGAUCAGCCACACUGGGACUGAGACACGGCCCAGACUCCUACGGGAGGCAGCAGUGGGGAAUAUUGGACAAUGGGCGCAAGCCUGAUCCAGCCAUGCCGCGUGUGUGAAGAAGGCUUUCGGGUUGUAAAGCACUUUCAUCAGUGAGGAAAGGGUAGUAGUUAAUACCCUGCUAUCUGUGACGUUAACUGAAGAAGAAGCACCGGCUAACUCCGUGCCAGCAGCCGCGGUAAUACG